Molecule: ribosomal RNA, 439 nt
Filed under: uncultured bacterium
Lineage: Bacteria
Description: partial 16S ribosomal RNA
Rfam family: Bacterial small subunit ribosomal RNA
Source: RNAcentral
CCUACGGGCGGCAGCAGUGGGGAAUAUUGCACAAUGGGCGAAAGCCUGAUGCAGCAACGCCGCGUGAGCGAUGAAGGCCUUCGGGUCGGAAAGCUCUGUCCUCAAGGAAGAUAAUGACGGUACUUGAGGAGGAAGCCCCGGCUAACUACGUUCCAGCAGCCGCGGUAAUACGUAGGGGGCUAGCGUUAUCCGGAAUUACUGGGCGUAAGGGGUGCGUAGGUGGUUUCUUAAGUCAGAGGUGAAAGGCUACGGCUCAACCGUAGUAAGCCUUUGAAACUGGGGAACUUGAGUGCAGGAGAGGAGAGUGGAAUUCCUAGUGUAGCGGUGAAAUGCGUAGAUAUUAGGAGGAACACCAGUUGCGAAGGCGGCUCUCUGGACUGUAACUGACACUGAGGCACGAAAGCGUGGGGAGCAAACAGGAUUAGAUACCCUGGUAGUC